GAUUUUCUCGGACUGCGUAGAUGUGUGUCAUUUAUCAUGUUGUUCCAGCCUUGUUCACAAAAGCAUCUGAAAAUGGACACCCAUGCUCAUUUGCUCAUUUGACGGCACCCUUAACAUUUUACGAGACCAGAAAAGCGAACAAAUGACCGAAAAUGGUUCCGGAAGAGAAUGACGAGAAAGGAAGACCUUCAAACCAAGGAGAAUGACCUUGCGUCGCGUUUUAUUGAUCGAUUGGCCUUGGGCUAGGCCAUCAAUCACGGGCUAAUAAGAUAUUUAAGAUUCUGAAAUAAUGAUAAUAUCUUUUAUUACAACCCUCAAAAAAACGAUCACGGAGGAUUGUCCUGACGAACGUAGAGAGGGUGUGGGGAAAGUCAUCCGUAAACUUAAUGUUUCAAUCUGAAUAAUUCAUAUUCAGCAAGGGAAUAGUUCCCCCCUACCUUGAAUAGAAGACUAAAUUAAAAGCGAGUAUUGCCUUCACAUCUCAAAGUUCUCAAUUUACCCACGUGCCGCCUUCUUUCCGCUCGCUUCGUCGUGGUCGUACCACGUUCAAGAAAUCCCGGUGGGAGAUCAUCUGUCGGGCAAAGGUUGCAGUCAAGUAGUAACACUAGCUCAGUAGUGUUCUCUGCGUUAGCGGAAGGAACAAACCCAAGUAUUGGAAGAAAUCGAGUUCAAGAGAGACGCAUUUCCCAAAAGCAACCAAAGACACACCAUGAGGUGCCUUUUGAAACGAGGCUAUCUGCAUCCAUUUUAUUUGACAUCUCUUUCAACCGGAUUGAUUGGCUUCUUCAUCUCCAAGUCCUUAUCAUUAUACGUUCUGUUGAAGCUCCACCAAUCAAAAGUGCAAAUCUCCUCGCAGAAACUUUGGCAAACGAUGGCUAACGAAGUUUGGCCUUUGGGGAACUCUUCGUCAGAGGGCAAGGCUGAUCAAGUUUCUCAUUGCCUUGUUGUCCUUCUGGUUCUCUUCUCAAUCGAGUCUGUGGCUAAUCUGACUCUAAUGAUCGCAUCGAGGCGGAAAAGUCUCAUUCUUUUGGGUAUCUUUGUUGGCUAUCGAGUUUUUUGUUUACUUGGAGUAUCAAUUGCUAUACUCGCUCAAUCUUUGGAAACCUCGCCGACAAAUCUGGACAUCCUUCUCAUCCUAAUCCUUGCUUUUGGCAUAUUCAUGGCCAGUGCUCAAAGAGGUAAGAGAUCCACAGAGUUACGAGUACAUUACAACGAGGAUUGGAUAGAAGUGGGAGAUAAAUUUCAAAGCCAAACUGCUAUUCUGAAGUUCACAAUGGUUGCCUAGCCAACGGACUCAUAGCGAGGGAAUCUAGGUCUUGAGGAAAGGCCAUUCUCGCUAAUACAAUAAUACCUCCUUGCAUUAGCCUCGUGUCAUAUUUGCGAAAGAGGAUCCACGUCAAACAGAACGAAUGAGCUAUUCUGACCAAAAGAAACCCAAAACAAGACAUAUUUGUAACAGGCAGAGGGUCUGUCCAUUGUAUAGGAAGCGAUUGAGAGAAUAAGGUUAUGGACGACAUGGCCAUUGUUCCAAGCGAUGAGCCUCACGACCAGGCAGCACGUUAUGGGAACACCAGCGAGAGCAUUUCUGGUUGCCGAGGCAAUGACCGCUUGAGGCGAGAGCGCAUCGAAAUUGACUUCUCUCCCAACUUCCAAAGCUUCCAGAGCGAUCCCGAUGCGCUCACGAUUGACACCAAUGUCGUAGAUGUAGAAGAGUCGGAAAUUGGGAGCAACUCUUUGGCCUUGGCAAGUUUGGUUCUCGAUGGCGUGGACCUGGAUUCUCCCGCUCGUGAUGGCGACCUUAAGUGCACAUCAUUUCAUAGAAUUUAAACACAUUAGACCCACGCUUUGAGGUUAGGGUUUUUAUUGGAUUUGCUCGCUGGAAGGGCCAUGUUUUCGGUCGAACUCGAAACUCGAAACUGAAAAAGACCAGAGUGCAUUCUCAGACUAAAUACGAGGUUCGAAAAACAAGGCUUUCAAAUCCAAGCGAGGUUACUGAAGACUUGAAAGCUUUUGAUGUUUGGAAAGGAUUUAUUCAAGUGUAUAGGAUCUCUAAGCCAAAUAAAACCUAUUCUCUGUCCCGGAUAACUCACCCCGAAAAAUAGUUUCAGUUGCGCAUUUGAAGGUAUCUGAUCUGUAUUUGACAUUAUAAUCUUGAAAGUCCAAACACGAAAAGGAGACUGGAAAGUCAGGCAUAGU
This is an RNA transcript of Tigriopus californicus, 2196 nucleotides long. RefSeq lists it as uncharacterized. NCBI's taxonomy places the organism in Eukaryota, Metazoa, Arthropoda, Copepoda, Harpacticoida, Harpacticidae. The record is from RefSeq and is a predicted model, not a curated record. The transcript is spliced from 2 exons.